AGCCAGACUCCUACGGGAGGCAGCAGUGGGGGAUAUUGCACAAUGGGGGAAACCCUGAUGCAGCGACGCCGCGUGAGUGAAGAAGUAUUUCGGUAUGUAAAGCUCUAUCAGCAGGGACGAAAAUGACGGUACCUGAGUAAGAAGCCCCGGCUAACUACGUGCCAGCAGCCGCGGUAAUACGUAGGGGGCAAGCGUUAUCCGGAAUUACUGGGUGUAAAGGGAGCGUAGACGGUGAAGUAAGUCUGGAGUGAAAGGCGGGGGCCCAACCCCCGGACUGCUCUGGAAUCUAUUUGACUGGAGUGCAGGAGAGGUAAGCGGAAUUCCUAGUGUAGCGGUGAAAUGCGUAGAUAUUAGGAGGAACACCAGUGGCGAAGGCGGCUUACUGGACUGUAACUGACGUUGAGGCUCGAAAGCGUGGGGAGCAAACAGGAUUAGAUACCCUUGUAGG
This 448-nucleotide ribosomal RNA is filed under the name uncultured bacterium. Its description in RNAcentral is "bacterial SSU rRNA". It matches the Rfam family "Bacterial small subunit ribosomal RNA", at positions 329 to 794 of the family's 1533-position model. The record is from RNAcentral.